UACGUAGGGGGCGAGCGUUAUCCGGAAUUACUGGGCGUAAAGCGCACGCAGGCGGUUCGCCAAGUUGGAGCGACAGUUGUCGGCUCAACCGACAAAGGAACUUCAAAAACAUGGUGAACUUGAGGACGAGAGAGGAACACGGAACUCCAGGUGUAGUAGUGAAAUGCGUAGAUAUCUGGAAGAACACCAAUGGCGAAGGCAAUGUUCUGGCUCGUUUCUGACGCUCAGGUGCGAAAGCCAGGGGAGCGAACGGG
This 254-nucleotide ribosomal RNA is filed under the name uncultured bacterium. RNAcentral's name for it is "partial 16S ribosomal RNA". It matches the Rfam family "Bacterial small subunit ribosomal RNA", at positions 524 to 776 of the family's 1533-position model. The record is from RNAcentral.